CCUCUGAAUAGACACGUUCUGCCUGCAGUGGCUGUUCUGACAGAGGACUCUGCUUCCAAGCAUCCAAAGCAUACAACGGGAUGCAGGGCAGAAGAUAGGCUGCUGCUGUGCUGUGGUGACGAGGAGUCGGGGACAUUUCUUCAGAUGUGUGACUUUGAAAUGAUUGGGAUCUUCUAGAGCAUUCAUUUUUCUACCCCAAAAGGAGAAUUUGAACCUUCUUUCAGUAUUUUUGAGGACCCACCUCUGGGACUCUUGAGCUGACAGCUUUGGGACUUGAAAGUGAUUUGAAAAAGAAAACUAGAAGCCAUGUCUGACUCACCUCAGUCAAUAAGGUAUUUGUGCUGGCUGCAGAUGUCUCUGAGCACCCAAGUAAAGGUGAGUACAUUCACGUGGGAGCCCAUGCCUGUGGUUACAUCGUCCUCAUAGUAGCUCCACUGGAGAUGUAGGGAAAUCACCACUGUCUGUGUCACAGCCAUAUUAAGUGAACCAUUGCCAAGGAAUGCUUUAUAGACAAUGAGAGAUGUGGAUGUCAGGUCAAUCUGUGGCUUCUGAACUCCAUGACCUGCAUGAUCCCUCUAUGUUGUUGUCUAUACAUGAAUCCCUUCUGUGACAGUAAAAAUGACCAACUUGACAGGAUUGAGAAUCACCUAGAACACCAGCUUCUGUUACCUAGAUGAUCUAGAUUAGAUUAACUGAGGUAAAUAGAUCCAUCUUAAUUAUGGUUGGCUCCAUUCCACAGGCUGGAAUCCUGAAGUAAAUAGAAAGGAAAGAGCAAGCUGUGUACUGGCUUUCGUUGAUGUUUUUCUUGCAAUGUGGCCAGCUGUCUCAGCUUCACACUGCCAUCGCUUGCUGACUAUGAUGGAUUGUAUCCUCAGACUGUGAGCCAAAAUCAACCCGUUCUUUCUUAAUUGCGUUUGCUGGGUGUUUUACCACAGAA
Molecule: long non-coding RNA, 937 nt
Organism: Mus musculus (house mouse)
Lineage: Eukaryota; Metazoa; Chordata; Mammalia; Rodentia; Muridae
Product: predicted gene, 51564
Exons: 3
Source: RefSeq, a predicted model, not a curated record